Molecule: long non-coding RNA, 656 nt
Organism: Triticum urartu
Lineage: Eukaryota; Viridiplantae; Streptophyta; Magnoliopsida; Poales; Poaceae
Source: RefSeq, a predicted model, not a curated record
AGAGCGUCCGGCCAGGUAGCACCUGGCCCACGUGCCCGACGUAUCAAAGGGAUUAACUGGGAUCGCACGAGGCCCCCAAAAUCCCGAGGCCCUCGAUCAAGGAAACCAACACACCGUCAUGUAAAAAAAACCAACUCGGCCGAGAAAUCCCGCCCCGGUUCAUCAGCCUGAUCUGAUGCGAGCUGUCGCACGCCCCGAGAAAUCGGCAAUCUGAGCGCCGCCUUCCCUCCUCGUGUCUCGAUCGUUCGCCGCCUCUUCUCCUCCCCCAGAAGUGCCUCACGUCUGAUCUCCCCUCCUCCCCACGGAAUGGCGGAUGGCAGUGGACCAACGUUGAAGGCGGAUCGAGCCUGGCCAUGGCGGCAUGGCGUAUUGACUCCCCCAGGUCUCCUCACUCAUCCACAGCAUGGCAGGGCGUGGUGAUUGAGCUUUGAUUUCUCUCUUCGGGCUUGGGGUUAGGAGGCACAAUCCAGUACACCUCAGCAUCGCGGGAGAGUGGUGCAGCUCGGUUCAUGAUGGCAGGGUGAGGGGUGUAUGCCGAGCCCGAGUGUCGUCCGGUAGCCGAUUUUUUACCAACAAGUGCAAGUGAAAAUAAAAAGUUCAUGCGUGCAACUGGUACCUGCCGUGGAGGACCUCGACGUCGUCCUUGGCGGCGUUGG